GACGAACGCUGGCGGCGUGCUUAACACAUGCAAGUCGAACGGAAAGGCCCUGCUUUUGUGGGGUGCUCGAGUGGCGAACGGGUGAGUAACACGUGAGUAACCUGCCCUUGACUUUGGGAUAACUUCAGGAAACUGGGGCUAAUACCGGAUAGGAGCUCCUGCUGCAUGGUGGGGGUUGGAAAGUUUCGGCGGUUGGGGAUGGACUCGCGGCUUAUCAGCUUGUUGGUGGGGUAGUGGCUUACCAAGGCUUUGACGGGUAGCCGGCCUGAGAGGGUGACCGGCCACAUUGGGAGUGAGAUACGGCCCAGACUCCUACGGGAGGCAGCAGGGGGGAAUAGUGCACAAUGGGCGGAAGCCUGAUGCAGCAACGCCGCGUGCGGGAUGACGGACUUCGGGUUGUAAACCGCUUUCGCCUGUGACGAAGCGUGAGUGACGGUAAUGGGUAAAGAAGCACCGGCUAACUACGUG
This 468-nucleotide ribosomal RNA is filed under the name uncultured bacterium. Its description in RNAcentral is "partial 16S ribosomal RNA". It matches the Rfam family "Bacterial small subunit ribosomal RNA", at positions 28 to 507 of the family's 1533-position model. The record is from RNAcentral.